GACGAACGCUGGCGGCGUGCUUAACACAUGCAAGUCGAACGGAAAGGCCCUGCUUUUGUGGGGUGCUCGAUUGGCGAACGGGUGAGUAACACGUGAGUAACCUGCCCUUGACUUUGGGAUAACUUCAGGAAACUGGGGCUAAUACCGUAUCGGAGCUCCUGCUCCAUGGUGGGGGUUGGAACGUUUCGGCGGGUGGGGAUGGACUCGCGGCUUAUCAGCUUGUUGGUGGGGUAGUGGCUUACCAAGGGUUUGACGGGUAGCCGGCCUGUGAGGGUGACCGGCCACAUUGGGACUGAGAUACGGACCAGACUGCUACGGGAGGCAGCAGGGGGGAAUAUUGCACAAUGGGCGGAAGCCUGAGGCAGCAACGCCGCGUGCGGGAUGACGGCUUUCGGGUUGUAAACCGCUUUCGCCUGAGACGAAGCGUGAGUGACGGUAAUGGGUAAAGAAGCACCGGCUAACUACGUG
Molecule: ribosomal RNA, 468 nt
Filed under: uncultured bacterium
Lineage: Bacteria
Description: partial 16S ribosomal RNA
Rfam family: Bacterial small subunit ribosomal RNA
Source: RNAcentral